This 83-nucleotide small RNA is filed under the name Flavobacterium pectinovorum. RNAcentral's name for it is "Flavo-1 RNA". Lineage: Bacteria; Pseudomonadati; Bacteroidota; Flavobacteriia; Flavobacteriales; Flavobacteriaceae. The record is from RNAcentral.
ACCAAGUUCGCGUGAGGGAUAGAGGCGGUAUCCUUUUAUACAGCGGAGCGAAAUAAAAGAUAUAGCCGAAAGCCCGACCCGGA